AAAAAGGUUUUUUAAAAAAAAAUUUUUUUUUUUUGGGGGGGGGGGGGGUUUUUUCCCCCCCCCCCCC
Non-coding RNA from Cherax quadricarinatus, 67 nucleotides. The record is from RefSeq and is a predicted model, not a curated record. NCBI's taxonomy places the organism in Eukaryota, Metazoa, Arthropoda, Malacostraca, Decapoda, Parastacidae.